GAUGAACGCUGGCGGCGUGCCUAAUACAUGCAAGUCGAGCGAACAGACGAGGAGCUUGCUCCUCUGACGUUAGCGGCGGACGGGAGAGUAACACGUGGAUAACCUACCUAUAAGACUGGGAUAACUUCGGGAAACCGGAGCUAAUACCGGAUAAUAUAUUGAACCGCAUGGUUCAAUAGUGAAAGACGGUUUUGCUGUCACUUAUAGAUGGAUCCGCGCCGCAUUAGCUAGUUGGUAAGGUAACGGCUUACCAAGGCAACGAUGCGUAUCCGACCUGAGAGGGUGAUCGGCCACACUGGAACGGAGCCACGGUCCAGACUCCUACGGGAGGCAGCAGUAGGCAAUCUUACGCAACGGGCGAAAGCUUGACGGAGCAACGCGGCGUGAGUGAUGAAGGUCUUCGGAUCGUAAAAAUCUGUUAUUAGGGAAGAACAAAUGUGUAAGUAAAUAUGCACGUCUUGACGGUACCUAAUCAGAAAGCCACGGCUAACUACGUG
This 497-nucleotide ribosomal RNA is filed under the name uncultured bacterium. Its description in RNAcentral is "partial 16S ribosomal RNA". It matches the Rfam family "Bacterial small subunit ribosomal RNA", at positions 28 to 507 of the family's 1533-position model. The record is from RNAcentral.